This 491-nucleotide ribosomal RNA is filed under the name uncultured bacterium. RNAcentral's name for it is "partial 16S ribosomal RNA". It matches the Rfam family "Bacterial small subunit ribosomal RNA", at positions 29 to 507 of the family's 1533-position model. The record is from RNAcentral.
AGUGAACGCUGGCGGUAGGCCUAACACAUGCAAGUCGAACGGCAGCACAGUAAGAGCUUGCUCUUACGGGUGGCGAGUGGCGGACGGGUGAGGAAUACAUCGGAAUCUACUUUUUCGUGGGGGAUAACGUAGGGAAACUUACGCUAAUACCGCAUACGACCUACGGGUGAAAGCAGGGGAUCUUCGGACCUUGCGCGAUUGAAUGAGCCGAUGUCGGAUUAGCUAGUUGGCGGGGUAAAGGCCCACCAAGGCGACGAUCCGUAGCUGGUCUGAGAGGAUGAUCAGCCACACUGGAACUGAGACACGGUCCAGACUCCUACGGGAGGCAGCAGUGGGGAAUAUUGGACAAUGGGCGCAAGCCUGAUCCAGCCAUACCGCGUGGGUGAGGAGGCCUUCGGGUUGUAAAGCCCUUUUGUUGGGAAAGAAAAGCAGCAGGUUAAUACCCCGCUGUUCUGACGGUACCCAAAGAAUAAGCACCGGCUAACUUCGUG